Molecule: long non-coding RNA, 2238 nt
Filed under: Xyrichtys novacula (pearly razorfish)
Lineage: Eukaryota; Metazoa; Chordata; Actinopteri; Labriformes; Labridae
Source: RNAcentral
GGGUCAUUGUGAUAUGUGUUUUGUUAGAUGAAUUGAAGAGAACAAUAAAACAGUAGUGGGACACUUUUCCAGUUCCAGAGAGACGCUUUUAGAAAUCUAUUCAUAGACAAUGUGGACAUGAUUAAAACUGCCAAGGGAUAUGUUACAUGUUUGUAAUGAUGACGGGUUCAGUCGAUGGAUAGAAGCAACACCAUCAAAAGAUCUUGGAGUCAAAAUAAAUCUGUCAUUGCAUGAUUUGGUACAUCAUUUUGGGGAAGAAAGUUAAUCUCUCAAGUAAAUAUCUGAUCAGAGAAUUUGCACUAACACUAACGUAUGGGAAGACGCUUUGCUACUUGCGCUUAUGAGCUUUCACAAUCAAAAGCACUGUGAUAAAUCUUUCACUGCAUGAUUGACUAACUUACAAAGCUAUGCUUUACUGCGGCUAAAUAAUUAAGUUUUUCGCUUGAGCAGCUGAAAAUUAGUGAAUUAAAUAUAUGAGGCAGCUAACUACGAUGCAAAGAUCUAUCGAUUAGUAGGAGGAGUGCCAAAAUCUGAUCCCAGUCAAGAGGUGGAGGCCAGUCGAGCCAGAGCACCAGGUGUACAUCACCAUCCUUUGAGGAGGGUGGCAAAAAGAACGAGGAGAAGACCUGAACACUUUGGUCCUGGUGAAUCUACUUCAGUGCAAGUAGAGGGCGUCAUCUACCACUGACUGCCCAGAAAAAACAAGGGAAGUAUGACUUGAUAAGAGACACUCCCAGAAUGACUGUAGCACUCGUCCUGAAAGUAACUGUUUUCCUGGUGUUGCUGCUGAGGGACAAUGUGUGGAGAGAGACCGAGAGAGAGACUGGAGACAACAAUGAGGGUGAAGGUCAAACUGGUGCCAGUACAGCUGUGAGAAGAAGAAGUGGGAGACAUUGUUAUCGCGGGUGAGUACGAUGCAACCCAAAACACAAUCCACACCACUCCAGACAGAGCUAGAACCCAUGCCAACAUUCACAGAUUAUUACAGAUUUACAAUGAGGUUAAAUAGAUAAUAAAAUUAAAAAGUAUUUUGUGUGUGGUAAUGUGAGAAUGAGAGAGGAUGUGAAGAGAAAAGAUGUGUCUUAAAAGGUUUUGGAAGUACUGUUGCAGAUACGUUUCUAACAAAACGAGCCCUGGGGGAGGUUUUUCUAAAGCUAUGAAGGGUAUAAAGAAAAGUUUAAAGUGGAAAUGUGGGAGAAUGCUGGUAAGGGGGGGGGCCUGUUAAUGGACUAGGUGGUCUAAAUUUUAGAUGAAUGAGAGCCGUUUUGGCCCAGCCAUGAGUGCUGCGAUAGCCCUAAUUCUGAUUUCCUUUCUCACAUGUCGCAUCGUACACAUCCUUUGGAGACAUUGUUAUCGCGGCUGACGGAGGAGAUGGGACUUAUGGUGGACCGAACACUGGCCCAUGAACUACAGGAAAUGCCACCAAAACAGCUGGCACAGUUUGUGAUUGAUCAAGGAGGGACUGAGGGACCUGAACGGUUCCUGGACUUCCUAGACGAAGAUGAGCAAUGGACUUUGAGCAACACAAACAACAUAUUCAAUGAGCUGAGAUAUUGAACUGAACAUGUUUCAUUCGCAGAGUUAAAGGACUACACUAAUCACACAUUGAUCAAGGGGUUAAUCAGAUAUUAAUCAAGGGGUUUGUCGCAGGUUGCUACAAUGUAAUGUAAUGAUAUUAUCAAAUGUGGACACUUUCUUCUAUGCAAAUGAAAUUAUGUCAGCGCAUCCAGGAAAUGGAUGGUCGCCAGGGCGCGGGGCCGUAAGAUUCUUUCCCUGCUGAAACAGCCGAGCAGGGUUUUCAGUCUUACGCGCUGAUAUAAUUUGAAAUGAUCCAAGCUAUGGUAUGGUGUUUAAUGUUUGAUAUGAUGAUCAGGUUUUUAUGAAAGUAAGAACUUUCAAAGGGGGGAUGUGUAGGGGAAUGUCUUCAUACAUUUAGGUUAAGAAAUAUAGAGUAAUUAUCUUUUAGUAAGAAGCUACAAAUAGUCUAGGUUGGCCUGCUCCUGCUGCCCCACGACCAUGAGAUUGUAAGCAAGGCUGUCUUGCAGGAGCCCAAACUAUCUGUCUGUUGGAACAUGUAAUCUCUGCCAGGGUCAAGACGAACCUAAACAAAGUGUCGUGGGGCAGACAUGUCAUCAUGAGGGGCCUUCUGGAGAAUACACACACACACACACACACACACACACACACACACACACACACACACACACACACACACACACACACACACACAGCAUAAAA